Molecule: ribosomal RNA, 497 nt
Filed under: uncultured bacterium
Lineage: Bacteria
Description: partial 16S ribosomal RNA
Rfam family: Bacterial small subunit ribosomal RNA
Source: RNAcentral
GAUGAACGCUGGCGGCGUGCCUAAUACAUGCAAGUCGAGCGAACAGACGAGGAGCUUGCUCCUCUGACGUUAGCGGCGGACGGGUGAGUAACACGUGGAUAACCUACCUAUAAGACUGGGAUAACUUCGGGAAACCGGAGCUAAUACCGGAUAAUAUAUUGAACCGCAUGGUUCAAUAGUGAAAGACGGUUUUGCUGUCACUUAUAGAUGGAUCCGCGCCGCAUUAUCUAGUUGGUAAGGUAACGGCUUACCAAAGCAACGAUGGGUAGCCGACCUGAGAGGGUGAUCGGCAGACGUGGAACAGUAACACGAUCCAGCCUGAUACGGAGGGACUAAGCAGGGUAACUGCGGCGAUGGGCGACACCAAGAGGGAAAAACGCCGCGGGAGGGAGAAGGGUAUUGGGACGAUAAAACUGUGUAAUUAGGAAAGCACAAAUGUGGACGAACAUAAGCAAGUCUUGAGGGUACAAAAUAGGAAAGCAAAGGAUAACAAGGCG